CCCACCGUCAACGUGGCACCAGAUCAAUUUGUUACAGGCCAGUCAAUGAACUGACACUGACACUAUUAUCACCCCAAGUCCAUAGUUAACCUUAGGGUUCACUCUUUGUGUUGCAUGUUUUAUGAAUUUGGACAAAUGAAUGAUGACAUGAUUCACCACUGCGGCAUCACACAGAGUAUUUUCACCACCUUCAAAAGCGUAUUUUUAGGAUGAAUAUGUCCUACCUAUUAUUCCAUUUAUUUUUCGAGCAUCUAGAAAAGACAGCCUUUCUCAGUAUUUGGCAUGAGCAGGGGCGUGGGGGUCGGGGAGCAUUUGGUGUGUGCUCGUCAUGACCAGGUAUCCCUAAGACCCCAGGGUGCCAGAGAGUCACCUGGGAGGCCUUUGAAAUAUAGGUGCCCGGCACUCAGCGGUUCUGAUUCUUUGGGUCCAGGGAAUCCCGGGAAUCAUCAUUUUGCCCGAGUCCCCAGGUGGUUCUGAUACAGAUCCACUGUCCUAUAUACCCUCAGGGGACAUGUCACCCAGUGGGGGGGCACACAGUGGCCAGGGAGGUGGACCCCAGUCAGGAAGUCUGACCCAGGCCAGCACACCCAGGCUGCAGGGCGCAAGGGCCAGGCACAGCAGCCGGGGUGGACAGACACCAUGCGGGCCCCCCAGAAACCCCAGGGAACACUAGGGUAUGCCCGUCUGGUGGCCACCACCUCAGGCUGCAGUCACCAGCUCUCACACAGAGAAGGUCAUUUAGCCUCACCUUAGACAGGUUCAGCCAGUGUCAGGGGUGCACGUGUGGGAGGGGAAGCAGCUUUCUCAGGCCAGUCCAGGUGGGGGCCUGCCUCAGUGUCCUUAUCUGUAGAGGAGUGGCCUGUGGGAUGGGCCAUAAACACUGCAUGUGGCCCAGUAUUUCUUUGAGCUGUGGUUCUGGGCCAGUGGUUUGCAGAGGCUGGGCUGGAGCCUGGCUGGCUGGAAGCACUGGAUAUACCUGGGCAGAUGGGGGAGGAGAGGUCUGCAUUCAGAACAAGUCCCCAGCAGCCCGGGGCUCCAGGAGGGUGCGGGAUGGUUGGAACCACCUGUUCAGCAAAGUUUAUAGGGAACCUGAGGCCCAGUGGCAGGCGGGGAGCCCCCCUGGGCUUGAGCCCCCAGCCUGCUCUUCCCACCCCAUCCUCUGCGGUGUUGCAGGUCCCUGUGGAUGGUCCUGAAGCUGAGACGGAGGCUGAGGAGCCCCCAGGUAGCCUCCCUAAGCUGGUGGCCCCGGGGCAAGCAGAGGGCCGUGGAGGCCCAGAUCCGGUCGGAGGUGCUGACCCUGCUGAGCAACUUGGCUGACCUAGCCAACGCAGUGCACUGGCUACCCCCGGGCAUCCUGUGGUCUGGCUGCUUGCCCCCGUGGGUGGUGGGCCUCCUGGGUACCAUCUCCUCCCUCCUCAGCGUGUACCAGGCAGUCCAGGCCGGUGGCCAGGCCAACGCUGACCCCUGAUGGGACCCAGGUGCCCAUGGACUCGGCUGGAAGCCCAAUGAGGGUCCCUUCCCAAGGGCAACGAUGGCCCGGGUGGGAGCUGGGUCUUUCAUGGAGCAAAUCAAGGCCAGGUGCACCUGUGGCCCCCCAGGACCAGCGUCCUCUGGGUAGGCUUCUCUCCGGGGCAGAGCGGAAAGAUCCCACGAGUCUGUGCAGAGAAUAAGGGCACCGCAGGCUGGAGUACUGAAUCCAGUAAAGGCGAGCGGGGGAGCAGGGACAGGUGGCCUGCACCAGGGGGUGCGUGAGGAAGGUCUGAAUGAGAGUCAAUUAAAUGCUGUGGGGCUGC
Molecule: long non-coding RNA, 1793 nt
Filed under: Sus scrofa (pig)
Lineage: Eukaryota; Metazoa; Chordata; Mammalia; Artiodactyla; Suidae
Description: lncRNA (ENSSSCG00025016481.1)
Source: RNAcentral